Podarcis lilfordi (Lilford's wall lizard) is the source of this 4219-nucleotide non-coding RNA. Lineage: Eukaryota; Metazoa; Chordata; Lepidosauria; Squamata; Lacertidae. The record is from the annotation of a GenBank genome assembly.
GUACCAACCCCAAACUAUUUUUGUUGUUGUUGGCGGCAUCCGUCUGAGGAGACCAGGGAAAAGUACCUUUGGGGGUGAGAGCACUUUUGUAGCUAUGCCCACAAGAGUCUGGUUAGUGGCAACAGUGGUGCUAUUCAUAUGCUGAAACUUUUAUGCUCAGCUGUCCCAACAGAACUCUUCCAUCUAGUGCAGCAGAGAGGCCAAGUACUGUUGCUAGAAAACGGAUGCAGAGGAACCAGACCAUGGCUUUUCGGAAUUAUUUAUAAUCCCGACCACAUUUUGAUCAACAACUUGAAUAAAAUAUAGGGGAGCCCAGGUAAGCCCCACCCUGUAUAAUCGAUCACAGGAUGCCCACACACCAUUUGAAUGGCAGUUCAACCUGGGGGGGGGGCAUCUUCUCAUAUAUUUUAUUGGGGGGGGGCAAAGGGACCUCGGCCCCUAGGAGUUGGCUUCUAAGGACAUGGAUUCACAUGGCAUCUGAAAACAAACUAAAUAAAAGCAUGAUAAACAUGAAAUAAUAUAAUAUGAAUAAAUGGCAGAAAUGAAAGAACUCUACAGCUUUUGGAAGGAAAGCCUAUUGGCAGUUGGUGCCUUUAAGAGUUGCUGCUGCAGAGAAAGCAGCUUACCAGUUGUGACAGGACACUUUUCAGUGAUUCGUGUGUGAUUUUUGAAACCCUGUAGUUGGUCUUGAAUAGCUUCUGGAACAGACCAUUUAACUAAUGGGCAAAGCGCUAGGAAGGAUGUGCUCAACCUGUUAGUGGAAUUCACAGUCUCUCUCAUGCUCUCACCUGGUUCUUCUUUUCACGUGUUAGAAAGGAACAUAGCAAUAAAGGGUUUAAUCUGAAUCUGGAGUCUGUUUUGAUAUCCUUAGCUGUGAUAGCCUUACCUUUUAUUUUUAUCCCUUACUGCUGCAAGCUGGCUGAAGAGAAGUACCUCUGAACAUGUUCAGGCUGCUUUUUCUUCAACCACAGCAGGUCUACUUAAGAGCUGUAAUUAGAAUACCUGAUAAAAAGAAUUCAGUCCUUCUGGCUAACACAUUAAGCACUUAUCUUUGGCACAGUUGGGUGGAAGAAGGUAGAGCUGGAGAGGCAGAGGACUGCUGUUUGCCCUCCAGUUGAGGUUAAAAUGGGAGCCUUCUAGCUCCCAGUUCUGCUGUCAGUGGGGCUGUUUGCUCUUUAGAAUAUUAGUAACCUGUGAAGGUUCUUCACGUCUCACUGCCCAGCCCUGGAAAAGAGUCUAGGAAAUGUGCAUGAGGCUGUAAGAAAUGUAGUUUUCCAUUGAGUAAAAGCCCAUUGAAGCAUCAGGGUGCAUUCCCUUUUUAAGUACUCUUGUUUCCCCACAUGAUGGUAUCUAAUAGUUUCUUGAAUGAUCUUGAUGUUUCUGCCUCACUUGGCUCACCUAUGAAGCUGUUCUACAUUUAGGACUCUUGUCUUCCCAACAUAGUCAAUAAAUGCUUCCUACUUCCAUGUUUAUGUUCUCUCUCCUUGUGGGCCUUGCAUGGGAUUCAUCUCUCUAAGCCCUCACUCCCUCAUUGUGUGAAACACUUGAAGAGUUUUCCACAAUCUGUUUAAUGUUGUCAGCAAUUGGGAACUGGUAUGGAGGAAGAAAAUUACUUAAAUAGUUUAUUCUGAGAGUUUGAAGGAACUCUACUCCCAGCAAUGCUCCUAUCCAGUGAUAUUUAGCCAUAGCCACUGCAAAGGUGAGUAAAGAACUGAAUACUGACAAGUACUUCCAAAUAAUAAGAAUGUGAGAGCUAGCUUAUAGUGACUUGUGCAUAUUAUUUACUUGUGUCAGCUGCCCCAUAGGCAGCUAUUGAAUGAUAACCAGGGGUCAGAAAUGGGGUGUCUUUUUGACUUAUGGAUCAGAGCUGGAGGCAGGGGGAAUGAACAACAUAGGUAGAUUAGAAUUAGAAUAAAGCAAGAGUGAAAGGUAGAAAUAUCUUUACUGCCCAGGUAAGGCCCCAGCCUGAAUAAGAUACCUUUGCAGUCCUUCAUGUUAAGAAAAGCCAGUGGUUGAUUUGCACAGUCAGUAAUUCUGUGGCCGUAAGGCCUGAUUGCACACACCUUCAUUUAGCUCACUAAGUUAGGUCCUAGUCUUGGGCCACAAAGUUUCUGAUUUCAAAACCCAAAGUCUCGAAUAAUCAGAAGAAUCCUUCCUCUCCUAUUUAUGGAUACACAAACAUGACAGGAGAGCAGCACAGCCUUUCCAGAAUGGUUUAUGUGGGCUAGCCAGAAGCUUGUGCCACGAGUGGCCAAUAAAGAUAGCAGAAACCUUAGCGGUUUAUCAUUUAUGUGCUAUCUGGCAAUGUUCAUUAAUGCAUUCUGUACUAGCAAUCAAAUUUUACAGGUAUUGUUUUUAAAUGCAAGUCUAGAUAUAAAUUUGGUAUAAACUAAGAUAUAAACUUAGGGAAGAAACAGCAGGAACUGGCCAGUUUAUCCUGACAUCUGUGCCCUGCCACCAAAACUGGCAGUACUGAGUCACAUUUUGACCCAAACACAUCUGCUUAUGCUUUGGAGGAAGGAUUUUGAUAAUUUAAUAUUUUUUCUUUGAAUUCAGCAAAACGUCCUCCCCACUCAGCUUAUGCAAGAUGAAAAUAUUAUUUCUAUAUAAUAUACCAUUUCAAUGAAACAAUAUUAAAACAGCAGUUAAAAUAAUAUAAAUAUUAUUUAUUAGAUUCUGUACUAGCCAAUAUUUUUAAGAUUCCAGUUUAUAGGAUUGAAAUGGCAACACACAGACAUACAUUUUCAAAAGGUCAUGAAAUAGCAAUGGGCAGCAAUUAAAAUCAAUAGAAGAAGGGGGGGGGGAGCUGGGAUAAUGUAAAAAUGGUAUUUGCCUUGUGUUGAAAAGAUGGCGGGGUUAGCAACCGGACUCAGGAGAGCCUCCCUGCAGAGAGAGUUCCAUAGAAAAAACUGGACCCUCCUCCCUGAACAACCAUGUGAUGCUGCCUCCCCUUUCCCUCCCAUUUAGCUCUUUGCCAGUUAACCAUGUCUUCAUGAAUCAUGUUAUUUCUGCCUCUCUCUUCCCUUUGUCCCAUUGCCUUUCUAAUAGCUGGAAUUUAGCUCCUAGAGGCAGAGACAUGCCUGUUGUUUCUUAUGUUGCUUGCAAAGAGCCAUGCAAAGCAAUGGUAUAUAAACAUGAGCGGACCUAUGGGAGGCAGCUGCCCCCCCCCCCCAAUCAAGUAAGUAAAUAAAUAAAUAAAAAUACUUAACUAACUGACCAGUUGCUCACAUAGCUUAGUUCUGCCCCCCCCCCCCAAUCCUGGCUAUGCCCAUGUAAGUAAAUAACUGUAAAUAAAAGGUUAUUGACUUGUGCCAAGUUUGAAGGUAAAGGGUGAUGGUUGCAUUGUGUAUUUCUAGCCAGCAGCCUGCUUGCUUUUCAGGCUAAAAGACUCUUAGCCCUUUUUGAUGUGAUAGAGGAAACCCAGCAACCUGGGUCUCCCUCUUUGUUCUAGGCUAAGCAGCAGCUUUGCUUUUUGCUGCACUUGAUCAAUGAGAUAAUGCCUGAUAUCAAAAACCACAUGGAGCUGCAUGGAGCUGUAGGGCAAUCCCUUGAGAGAUGUUUUGAUUGGAGCUGGGAGUUUUGUAUCAGAAGAGAAGGGAGACAGACAGGUUGUUUGAGGGAAAAGAAAUCCCUCUAGACAAAACACUGAUGUUGGAGCUGAGCUACAAAUACUCCCUGUGCUAGAGGUGCAACUUUAUUAGGUUUCUAGGUUAAACGCUGCCUUUCCUAUACAUGGUUUCCUUUGGUUCUGUCUUCCCCACAGCUCAUUAGCAUUAAUAGUGCUGCGACUAUGACUGCUAUCAAACUAAUUAGGCUCUUAUUUAUUUUUUUAAUACUGGAUUUUGCUUUCUCCUUUUCUCCUGUAGUUGGAAGCAUGGUUUGGAGCUUAUUUCCUAGCCACAUGAAAGUUGCUGGCUCUUGGAAGGAUGGGUGUCUGUGCAUUAUAUGUCAUUCUUAUUUAACCAUGGAGAAGGAUUGAUUUGCUUAAUCUUGUGAGGCAUGGUAUGAACAUAAUUCUCACUUGGACAUACUUGCUUUUUUUAAAAAAAAAACCCCUCAUAAUAAUAAUUAUUGUACUCCUUUUGAUUUUAUUUAACAAAAUUUAUAUACUACUUGAUUGUAGUGAAACCUCUAACCAGUUUACAAGAAAUAUUAAUUAUUAAUGAAAAAUGUUAAAAAAGCAAUUGAAAGCAUUUAAAAAAAUGACCAGCCAUAAACC